GUCCUUUUGAUUAUAAUUUAAGGUYUAGCCUGCCCAAUGAUGUAAAUUUAAUGGCCGCAGUAUACUGACUGUGCAAAGGUAGCAUAAUCAUUAGUUUUUUAAUUGAAAGCUUGUAUGAAAGGUUUGAUGAAAAAAAAAUUGUCUCUAGGUAAAGGUUUUGAAAUUUAUUUUUAAGUUAAAAAGCUUAAAUUAAUAUUGAAGACGAGAAGACCCUAUAGAGUUUUAUUUAUAUUAGUAAUAAAUUAAGUUUUAGAAUUUUAAAUUUGUAUUAUUAAGUAAAUUUAGUUGGGGUGAUUGAAAAAUUUAUUAAACUUUUUUUUUUAUUUGAACAUUUAUUUAUGAGUUUAUGAUCCUUUUUAAGAUUAUAAGAUAAAAUUACCUUAGGGAUAACAGCGUAAUUUUUUUUAGAGUUCUUAUCGAAAAAAAAGAUUGCGACCUCGAUGUUGGAUUAAAAUUAAAUUUUUGGUGUAGAAGCUAAAAAAUUAGGUCUGUUCGACC
RNAcentral lists this ribosomal RNA (498 nucleotides) under Kyklioacalles navieresi. RNAcentral's name for it is "partial 16S ribosomal RNA". The stretch from base 386 to 498 matches the Rfam family "Bacterial large subunit ribosomal RNA", at positions 2473 to 2586 of the family's 2925-position model. The record is from RNAcentral. Lineage: Eukaryota; Metazoa; Arthropoda; Insecta; Coleoptera; Curculionidae.